UCGACCAGAUCACGUUGAAACACCGGUUCCUGUACGAUCACCGAAGUUAAGCAACGUCUUGCCUGGUCUCUAUCUAGAUGGGUGACAGCUUGGGAAUACCAGAUGCUGUAAG
Acanthosepion pharaonis is the source of this 112-nucleotide non-coding RNA. Lineage: Eukaryota; Metazoa; Mollusca; Cephalopoda; Sepiida; Sepiidae. The record is from the annotation of a GenBank genome assembly.